Molecule: ribosomal RNA, 450 nt
Filed under: uncultured bacterium
Lineage: Bacteria
Description: bacterial SSU rRNA
Rfam family: Bacterial small subunit ribosomal RNA
Source: RNAcentral
GUGGGGAAUUUUGGACAAUGGGCGAAAGCCUGAUCCAGCAAUGCCGCGUGUGUGAAGAAGGCCUUCGGGUUGUAAAGCACUUUUGUCCGGAAAGAAAUCCUUUGGGUUAAUACCUCGGAGGGAUGACGGUACCGGAAGAAUAAGGACCGGCUAACUACGUGCCAGCAGCCGCGGUAAUACGUAGGGUCCGAGCGUUAAUCGGAAUUACUGGGCGUAAAGCGUGCGCAGGCGGUUUUGUAAGACAGAUGUGAAAUCCCCGGGCUUAACCUGGGAAUUGCAUUUGUGACUGCAAGGCUAGAGUGUGUCAGAGGGGGGUAGAAUUCCACGUGUAGCAGUGAAAUGCGUAGAGAUGUGGAGGAAUACCGAUGGCGAAGGCAGCCCCCUGGGAUAACACUGACGCUCAUGCACGAAAGCGUGGGGAGCAAACAGGAUUAGAAACCCGGGUAGUCC